RNAcentral lists this ribosomal RNA (716 nucleotides) under uncultured soil bacterium. Its description in RNAcentral is "bacterial SSU rRNA". It matches the Rfam family "Bacterial small subunit ribosomal RNA", at positions 36 to 752 of the family's 1533-position model. The record is from RNAcentral.
UUGGCGGCGUGCUUGACACAUGCAAGUCGAGCGAGAAAGGUCUUCGGACUGAGUACAGCGGCAAACGGGUGAGUAACGCGUGGGAAUCUACCUUUAAGUGGAGAAUACCCUCGAGAAAUCGAGGUUAAUACUGCAUACGUCUCGCAAGAGAGAAAGAUGGCCUCUUUGCUGUCGCUGAAAGAUGAGCCUGCGCACUAUUAGCUAGUUGGUAGGGUAAAGGCCUACCAAGGCUAUGAUGGUUAGCCGGCCUGAGAGGGUGUACGGCCACACUGGAACUUAGACACGGUCCAGACUCCUACGGGAGGCAGCAGUGAGGAAUAUUGCGCAAUGGGCGAAAGCCUGACGCAGCGACGCCGCGUGGAGGAUGAAGGUCUUAGGAUUGUAAACUUCUGUUAAGCGGGAAGAAAAGCGAUGUUUUAAUAGAACAUUGAAAUGACGGUACCGCUAGAGAAAGCACCGGCUAACUUCGUGCCAGCAGCCGCGGUAAUACGAAGGGUGCAAACGUUAUUCGGAUUAAUUGGGCGUAAAGGGUACGCAGGCGGUUCGUUAAGUCAACUGUUAAAUCUCCCGGCCUAACUGGGAAUCAGCGGUAGAUACUGGCGAGCUAGAGGAUGGAAGAGAGAAGUGGAAUUCUUGGAGUAGAGGUAAAAUUCGUAGAUCUCAAGAGGAACACCGAUGGCGAAGGCAGCUUCUUGGUCCAUAUCUGACGCUCAGGU